This 245-nucleotide ribosomal RNA is filed under the name uncultured bacterium. RNAcentral's name for it is "partial 16S ribosomal RNA". It matches the Rfam family "Bacterial small subunit ribosomal RNA", at positions 524 to 768 of the family's 1533-position model. The record is from RNAcentral.
UACGUAGGUGGCAAGCGUUGUCCGGAUUUACUGGGCGUAAAGGAUGCGUAGGUGGAUAUUUAAGUCAGAUGUGAAAUACCCGGGCUUAACUUGGGUGCUGCAUUUGAAACUGGAUAUCUAGAGUGCAGGAGAGGUAAGUGGAAUUCCUAGUGUAGCGGUGAAAUGCGUAGAGAUUAGGAAGAACACCAGUGGCGAAGGCGACUUACUGGACUGUAACUGACACUGAGGCAUGAAAGCGUGGGGAG